CCAGAUGGCCGGAUGACUGCGCUCCCCGCUUUCGGCGCGGGAGGGAGGAAAGUCCGGGCUCCACGGAAGGACGGUGCCGGGUAACGCCCGGCGGGAGCGAUCCCAGGGAAAGUGCCACAGAGACCAUACCGCCGGCGGCGGCCAGCAAUGGGUGCAGGCCGGUAAGGGUGAAAAGGUGCGGUAAGAGCGCACCGCGCUGACGGCAACGCCAGCGGCAGGGCAAACCCCACCGGGAGCAAGACCAGAUAGGAGGACAGGAGCCGGGCAACCGGUUCAGGCGCCUUUCCGCGCCGAUCCUCGGGUAGGUCGCGCGAGGCGUCCGGCAACGGGCGCCCCAGAUGAAUAGUCAUCCACGGGUCGCGGUCGGGCGGAAAUGAUGACCGGUGAAAGCCGGGCAUAUCGUUCGUCCAGCGGCCCCGGACAGAACCCGGCUUACAGGCCAUCUGGCAUA
This 451-nucleotide RNase P RNA is filed under the name Rhodospirillaceae bacterium. Its description in RNAcentral is "RNase P RNA component class A". It matches the Rfam family "Bacterial RNase P class A". From Rfam's summary of the family: Ribonuclease P (RNase P) is a ubiquitous endoribonuclease, found in archaea, bacteria and eukarya as well as chloroplasts and mitochondria. Its best characterised activity is the generation of mature 5'-ends of tRNAs by cleaving the 5'-leader elements of precursor-tRNAs. The record is from RNAcentral. Lineage: Bacteria; Pseudomonadati; Pseudomonadota; Alphaproteobacteria; Rhodospirillales; Rhodospirillaceae.